UACGAAGGGGGCUAGCGUUGUUCGGAUUUACUGGGCGUAAAGCGCGUGUAGGCGGCCUUGUAAGUUGGGGGUGAAAUCCCGAGGCUCAACCUCGGAACUGCCUCCAAAACUACAAGUCUGGAGCAAGAUAGAGGCAAGUGGAAUUGCGAGUGUAGAGGUGAAAUUCGUAGAUAUUCGCAGGAACACCAGGGGCGAAGGCGACUUGCUGGAGCUUUGCUGACGCUGAGACGCGAAAGCGUGGGGAGCAAACAGG
Molecule: ribosomal RNA, 253 nt
Filed under: uncultured bacterium
Lineage: Bacteria
Description: partial 16S ribosomal RNA
Rfam family: Bacterial small subunit ribosomal RNA
Source: RNAcentral